UCCUACUGCAGGGCCAUGAGCGGUCCAUUACGCAGAUUAAGUAUAACCGCGAAGGAGACCUCCUCUUUACUGUGGCCAAGGACCCUAUCGUCAAUGUAUGGUACUCUGUGAAUGGUGAGAGGCUGGGCACCUACAUGGGCCAUACCGGAGCUGUGUGGUGUGUGGACGCUGACUGUAUCCUUAUUUUGGGUCUGAGUCCGUGUUGCUAGGGUCUGUCAGCGAUGGAGAGGCUGAGUUGGGAGUUGGGAGUUGGGGGUGCUGUUGAGGGCCUAGAGAACGAUACCUCCUACUCCCUGGUCUCUUCACUGACUGAGGAAACAUUCAGGACAAAUUCCAGUUCUGGAUAAGGAGGUAAGAGGGGUAGAAAGGCUCUUUGGGGCUGAACAGGGAGAUGAUUCACUUGGCAUCCCAAGAGGACAAGGGCUCGGGUGAACUUCGUCAUAUUUCUUAACAACUCUUCAGGGGACACCAAGCAUGUCCUCACUGGCUCAGCUGACAACAGCUGUCGUCUCUGGGACUGUGAAACAGGAAAGCAGCUGGCCCUUCUCAAGACCAAUUCGGCUGUCCGGACCUGCGGUUUUGACUUUGGGGGCAACAUCAUCAUGUUCUCCACGGACAAGCAGAUGGGCUACCAGUGCUUUGUGAGCUUUUUUGACCUGCGGGAUCCGAGCCAGAUUGACAACAAUGAGCCCUACAUGAAGAUCCCUUGCAAUGACUCUAAAAUCACCAGUGCUGUUUGGGGACCCCU
Molecule: long non-coding RNA, 748 nt
Filed under: Homo sapiens (human)
Lineage: Eukaryota; Metazoa; Chordata; Mammalia; Primates; Hominidae
Description: HSALNT0004413
Source: RNAcentral